RNAcentral lists this ribosomal RNA (1387 nucleotides) under uncultured bacterium. RNAcentral's name for it is "16S ribosomal RNA". It matches the Rfam family "Bacterial small subunit ribosomal RNA". The record is from RNAcentral.
UUAGAGUUUGAUCCUGGCUCAGGACGAACGCUGGCGGCGUGCCUAACACAUGCAAGUCGAACGAAGCUUGACGAAUGAUUUCUUCGGAAUGAAAUCUGAUAUGACUGAGUGGCGGACGGGUGAGUAACGCGUGAGCAACCUGCCCUUCGGAACGGGAUAGUGUCUGGAAACGGACAGUAAUACCGUAUAACGUAUUUUUACCGCAUGAUAGAAAUACCAAAACUGAGGUGCCGAAGGAUGGGCUCGCGUCUGAUUAGAUAGUUGGUGGGGUAACGGCCUACCAAGUCGACGAUCAGUAGCCGGACUGAGAGGUUGAACGGCCACAUUGGGACUGAGACACGGCCCAGACUCCUACGGGAGGCAGCAGUGGGGAAUAUUGCACAAUGGGGGAAACCCUGAUGCAGCAACGCCGCGUGAAGGAAGACGGUUUUCGGAUUGUAAACUUCUGUUCUUAGUGAAGAAUAAUGACGGUAGCUAAGGAGCAAGCCACGGCUAACUACGUGCCAGCAGCCGCGGUAAUACGUAGGUGGCAAGCGUUGUCCGGAAUUACUGGGUGUAAAGGGAGCGUAGGCGGGAUGCCAAGUCAGCUGUGAAAACUAUGGGCUUAACCCGUAGACUGCAGUUGAAACUGGUAUUCUUGAGUGAAGUAGAGGUUGGCGGAAUUCCGAGUGUAGCGGUGAAAUGCGUAGAUAUUCGGAGGAACACCGGUGGCGAAGGCGGCCUGCUGGGCUUUUACUGACGCUGAGGCUCGAAAGCAUGGGGAGCAAACAGGAUUAGAUACCCUGGUAGUCCAUGCCGUAAACGAUGAUUACUAGGUGUGGGGGGAUAACCCCCUCCGUGCCGGAGUUAACACAAUAAGUAAUCCACCUGGGGAGUACGACCGCAAGGUUGAAACUCAAAGGAAUUGACGGGGGCCCGCACAAGCAGUGGAGUAUGUGGUUUAAUUCGAAGCAACGCGAAAAACCUUACCAGGUCUUGACAUCUAUCGCUAUCCCAAGAGAUUGGGAGUUCCCUUCGGGGACGGUAAGACAGGUGGUGCAUGGUUGUCGUCAGCUCGUGUCGUGAGAUGUUGGGUUAAGUCCCGCAACGAGCGCAACCCUUACUGUUAGUUGCUACGCAAGAGCACUCUAACGGGACUGCCGUUGACAAAACGGAGGAAGGUGGGGAUGACGUCAAAUCAUCAUGCCCUUUAUGACCUGGGCUACACACGUACUACAAUGGCCGCUAACAAUGAGCAGCAAAACCGCGAGGUGGAGCGAAUCUAUAAAAGCGGUCUCAGUUCGGAUUGCAGGCUGCAACUCGCCUGCAUGAAGUCGGAAUUGCUAGUAAUCGCGGAUCAGCAUGCCGCGGUGAAUACGUUCCCGGGCCUUGCACUCACCGCCCGUCA